This 658-nucleotide long non-coding RNA is filed under the name Parus major (Great Tit). RNAcentral describes it as "lncRNA (ENSPMJG00000000736.1)". Lineage: Eukaryota; Metazoa; Chordata; Aves; Passeriformes; Paridae. The record is from RNAcentral.
CUUAUGAGUAACAAUGAAUAUUACUUUUGAAUCAGAAUUCACAUUUAUUUCACAUUUGCCCAUGGAGUUUGCCCAUGCAUUUACAUUUAAGAACAUAUGUAAGCAUUUAAGUGAGAGAUUUCACUUGAGAAAUUCCAGAGAGAGGAAACUACCAGAGCAGGGAAGUGAGGAGUGGGCAUUUAUUUAUUGAGAGGCAACCAUGCCUGUGUGUCGAGGAGUGGAUGGGACAGGUGUCAGACUCUACUGAUGCCACACCCAUCCCAGAGAACCACCAGGUAACACAGAGAGCAAAAGGGGCCAUGGCUUCUGAUCCAGGUUAGGCUGGUGGUGACUGCAGACACCUUCAUCUCCUGGCAUGGUCUCUGAAGUUGGCUCUUUCUGAUUUGUUUGUUGUUUUUUUUUCUUUUAUUCCAGGUGAUCAAGUCUGCCCUGUGGUCCCUGGUGCUGAGCAUUGAUGUUGGCAGGUGCAGCCUGGGGCAGUGGUAGAAGGGGAGCAGAGGCUGCAAUUCCUGUCACACCCCAGCCUCAAGAGGCUGGCAGAGCAUGGAGUGAACUUCAGCUUCUCUGGGGCCCAGGGGCUGCUUUUGGACACACAUCAGGCACUAAAGAUGGCCCAGGCUGUGGAUUACCUGUGAACUUCAAUGCUGAACAUUACUGA